This 659-nucleotide ribosomal RNA is filed under the name uncultured bacterium. RNAcentral's name for it is "bacterial SSU rRNA". It matches the Rfam family "Bacterial small subunit ribosomal RNA", at positions 187 to 851 of the family's 1533-position model. The record is from RNAcentral.
CAUCAGAAUAUGACGAAAGGUUUAGCGGUGAAGGAUGGGGAUGCGUCUGAUUAGCUUGUUGGCGAGGUAACGGCUCACCAAGGCGACGAUCAGUAGGGGUUCUGAGAGGAAGGUCCCCCACAUUGGAACUGAGACACGGUCCAAACUCCUACGGGAGGCAGCAGUGAGGAAUAUUGGUCAAUGGGCGAGAGCCUGAACCAGCCAAGUAGCGUGCAGGACGACGGCCCUAUGGGUUGUAAACUGCUUUUAUAUGGGGAUAAAGUGAGUUACGUGUAGCUUAUUGCAGGUACCAUAUGAAUAAGGACCGGCUAAUUCCGUGCCAGCAGCCGCGGUAAUACGGAAGGUCCAGGCGUUAUCCGGAUUUAUUGGGUUUAAAGGGAGCGUAGGCCGCCCCUUAAGCGUGUUGUGAAAUGCCGCGGCUCAACCGUGGCACUGCAGCGCGAACUGGGGGGCUUGAGUGCACGCAACGCAGGCGGAAUUCGUGGUGUAGCGGUGAAAUGCUUAGAUAUCACGAAGAACUCCGAUUGCGAAGGCAGCUUGCGGGAGUGCGACUGACGCUGAAGCUCGAAGGUGCGGGUAUCGAACAGGAUUAGAUACCCUGGUAGUCCGCACAGUAAACGAUGGAUGCCCGCUGUGUGCCCUAGAGGUACGCGGCCAAG